GGGUGAAUGGCUUUCCAGGUCCCCGAGGGGCGGUCCCAAGGUCCCCACUCCGGGGCAGAGGGAGCAGGGUGCGAGACGUGGGGAGGAUUCUGGGGACGUCGGUCGGGGUUCUUAGAAGGGGAGAUGACUUUUCACCGUCACUGAGGCUCAUGCAGGAAGCCUGGGGGAGCAGGCGGCGGAAACGCACCCACAUCAAGGGCGGCAGCGCGGGGCGGCGGGGUACAGGGACGAGUGGGGAAGGGGCUGCAGGGUAUGAGUCCAAAGUCUGCCCUUCUGUCACUUCCAAGACCCUGCCACAGGCAUGAGGGGUCCCCAGCCGAGAUGACAGUGCUGGCGCCAGCCUGGAGCCCAAAUUCCUCCUUGUUGCUGUUGCUGCUGCUGCUGAGCCCUUGUCUGCGGGGGACACCUGACUGUUACUUCAGCCACAGUCCCAUCUCCUCCAACUUCCACAUGAGGAUUAGCGAGUUGACUGACUACCUGCUUAAAGAUUACCCAGUCACUGUGGCCAUCAAUCUUCAGGACGAGAAACACUGCAAGGCCUUAUGGAGCCUCUUCCUGGCCCAUCGCUGGAUAGAGCAACUGAAGACUGUGGCAGGGUCUAAAAUGCAAAAGCUUCUGGAGGAUGUCAAUACGGAGAUACAUUUUGUCACCUCGUGUACCUUCCAGCCCCUACCAGAAUGUCUUCGAUUCGUCCAGACCAACAUCUCCCACCUCCUGCAGGACACCUGCUCACAGCUGUUAGCUCUGAAGCCCUGUAUCGGGAAAGCCUGCCAGAAUUUCUCUCGGUGCCUGGAGGUGCAGUGCCAGCCGGACUCCUCCACCCUGCUGCCCCCAGAGAGUCCUGGAGCCCUAGGAGCCACGGAGCUUCCAAAGCCUCAGCCCAGGCAGCUGUGGCUCCUGCUGCUACUGCCUCUCACAGUGGUGCUGCUGGCUGCUGCCUGGUGCCUUCGCUGGCAAAGGACAAGAAGGAGGGUGGAGCUCCGCCCUGGGGAUGUGAGACUUGUGCGUCGCUGACUCAGCCAGGGUCUUCUCUCGGGUUGGGAACCAAAACAAGGAACAAGCUAGGCAAAUGCUGUGCUGAGCUACAUCCCCAGCCCAGAGGACACACUGUCUGGGCCUGGCGAUGGACAUGUGUAAUUCCAGAGCUUCUGGAUUGGAGAUGCUGAAACUGGAGGAUACUGACUUUAAGAAAAACAGAAAGGAAGAAGGGGAUGCAUUGUAGCCCUGUGUGGUCGCUUCUGUCACCUCCACCCCUUAAAAUAAAAACAACUGCCGGAGGAUACUGAGGCCAAGCCGGAGUCAUCUGACAGACGUUUUGCACAGCCUGGACACAGGGACAGUUGGGUGGAGGCUGGCCUCCUCUU
This is an RNA transcript of Rattus rattus (black rat), 1364 nucleotides long. It is a transcript of the gene named fms related receptor tyrosine kinase 3 ligand, with no coding region annotated. Lineage: Eukaryota; Metazoa; Chordata; Mammalia; Rodentia; Muridae. The transcript is spliced from 9 exons. The record is from RefSeq and is a predicted model, not a curated record.